UACGUAGGGUGCAAGCGUUGUCCGGAAUUAUUGGGCGUAAAGAGCUCGUAGGCGGUCUGUCGCGUCGGCUGUGAAAACUCGGGGCUCAACUCCGAGCUUGCAGUCGAUCGGGCAGGCUAGAGUUCGGCAGGGGAGACUGGAAUUCCUGGUGUAGCGGUGAAAUGCGCAGAUAUCAGGAGGAACACCAAUGGCGAAGGCAGCUCGCUGGGACGUGACUGACGCUGAGACGCGAAAGCGUGGGGAGCAAACAGG
RNAcentral lists this ribosomal RNA (252 nucleotides) under uncultured bacterium. RNAcentral describes it as "partial 16S ribosomal RNA". It matches the Rfam family "Bacterial small subunit ribosomal RNA", at positions 524 to 776 of the family's 1533-position model. The record is from RNAcentral.